RNAcentral lists this ribosomal RNA (434 nucleotides) under uncultured Clostridium sp. RNAcentral's name for it is "partial 16S ribosomal RNA". It matches the Rfam family "Bacterial small subunit ribosomal RNA", at positions 341 to 792 of the family's 1533-position model. The record is from RNAcentral. Lineage: Bacteria; Bacillati; Bacillota; Clostridia; Eubacteriales; Clostridiaceae.
ACGGAAGGCAGCAGUGGGGAAUAUUGCACAAUGGGGGAAACCCUGAUGCAGCGACGCCGCGUGAGUGAAGAAGUUAUUCGUAAUGUAAAGCUCUAUCAGCAGGGAAGAAAAUGACGGUACCUGACUAAGAAGCCCCGGCUAACUACGUGCCAGCAGCCGCGGUAAUACGUCGGGGGCAAGCGUUAUCCGGAUUUACUGGGUGUAAAGGGAGCGUAGACGGCUUUGUAAGUCUGAUGUGAAAGGCAGGGGCUCAACUCCUGGACUGCAUUGGAAACUACAGAGCUUGAGUGCCGGAGAGGUAAGCGGAAUUCCUAGUGUAGCGGUGAAAUGCGUAGAUAUUAGGAGGAACACCAGUGGCGAAGGCGGCUUACUGGACGGUAACUGACGUUGAGGCUCGAAAGCGUGGGGAGCAAACAGGAUUAGAUACCCUGGUA